This is a ribosomal RNA of 1034 nucleotides. It matches the Rfam family "Bacterial small subunit ribosomal RNA", at positions 1 to 1015 of the family's 1533-position model.
UUUUAUGGAGAGUUUGAUCCUGGCUCAGGAUGAACGCUGGCGGCGUGCCUAAUACAUGCAAGUCGAGCGAACGGACGAGAAGCUUGCUUCUCUGAUGUUAGCGGCGGACGGGUGAGUAACACGUGGAUAACCUACCUAUAAGACUGGGAUAACUUCGGGAAACCGGAGCUAAUACCGGAUAAUAUUUUGAACCGCAUGGUUCAAAAGUGAAAGACGGUCUUGCUGUCACUUAUAGAUGGAUCCGCGCUGCAUUAGCUAGUUGGUAAGGUAACGGCUUACCAAGGCAACGAUGCAUAGCCGACCUGAGAGGGUGAUCGGCCACACUGGAACUGAGACACGGUCCAGACUCCUACGGGAGGCAGCAGUAGGGAAUCUUCCGCAAUGGGCGAAAGCCUGACGGAGCAACGCCGCGUGAGUGAUGAAGGUCUUCGGAUCGUAAAACUCUGUUAUUAGGGAAGAACAUAUGUGUAAGUAACUGUGCACAUCUUGACGGUACCUAAUCAGAAAGCCACGGCUAACUACGUGCCAGCAGCCGCGGUAAUACGUAGGUGGCAAGCGUUAUCCGGAAUUAUUGGGCGUAAAGCGCGCGUAGGCGGUUUUUUAAGUCUGAUGUGAAAGCCCACGGCUCAACCGUGGAGGGUCAUUGGAAACUGGAAAACUUGAGUGCAGAAGAGGAAAGUGGAAUUCCAUGUGUAGCGGUGAAAUGCGCAGAGAUAUGGAGGAACACCAGUGGCGAAGGCGACUUUCUGGUCUGUAACUGACGCUGAUGUGCGAAAGCGUGGGGAUCAAACAGGAUUAGAUACCCUGGUAGUCCACGCCGUAAACGAUGAGUGCUAAGUGUUAGGGGGUUUCCGCCCCUUAGUGCUGCAGCUAACGCAUUAAGCACUCCGCCUGGGGAGUACGACCGCAAGGUUGAAACUCAAAGGAAUUGACGGGGACCCGCACAAGCGGUGGAGCAUGUGGUUUAAUUCGAAGCAACGCGAAGAACCUUACCAAAUCUUGACAUCCUUUGACAACUCUAGAGAUAGAGCCUU